RNAcentral lists this ribosomal RNA (506 nucleotides) under uncultured bacterium. RNAcentral's name for it is "partial 16S ribosomal RNA". It matches the Rfam family "Bacterial small subunit ribosomal RNA", at positions 30 to 523 of the family's 1533-position model. The record is from RNAcentral.
AUUGAACGCUGGCGGCAGGCCUAACACAUGCAAGUCGAACGGUAGCACAGAGGAGCUUGCUCCUUGGGUGACGAGUGGCGGACGGGUGAGUAAUGUCUGGGAAACUGCCUGAUGGAGGGGGAUAACUACUGGAAACGGUAGCUAAUACCGCAUAACGUCGCAAGACCAAAGCGGGGGACCUUCGGGCCUCUUGCCAUCAGAUGUGCCCAGAUGGGAUUAGCUAGUAGGUGAGGUAAUGGCUCACCUAGGCGACGAUCCCUAGCUGGUCUGAGAGGAUGACCAGCCACACUGGAACUGAGACACGGUCCAGACUCCUACGGGAGGCAGCAGUGGGGAAUAUUGCACAAUGGGCGCAAGCCUGAUGCAGCCAUGCCGCGUGUAUGAAGAAGGCCUUCGGGUUGUAAAGUACUUUCAGCGGGGAGGAAGGUGAUACGGUUAAUAACCGUGUCAAUUGACGUUACCCGCAGAAGAAGCACCGGCUAACUCCGUGCCAGCCGCCGCGGUAA